AUUGAACGCUGGCGGCAGGCCUAACACAUGCAAGUCGAGCGGAUGAAGGGAGCUUGCUCCUGGAUUCAGCGGCGGACGGGUGAGUAAUGCCUAGGAAUCUGCCUGGUAGUGGGGGAUAACGUCCGGAAACGGGCGCUAAUACCGCAUACGUCCUGAGGGAGAAAGUGGGGGAUCUUCGGACCUCACGCUAUCAGAUGAGCCUAGGUCGGAUUAGCUAGUUGGUGGGGUAAAGGCCUACCAAGGCGACGAUCCGUAACUGGUCUGAGAGGAUGAUCAGUCACACUGGAACUGAGACACGGUCCAGACUCCUACGGGAGGCAGCAGUGGGGAAUAUUGGAAAAUGGGCGAAAGCCUGAUCCAGCCAUGCCGCGUGUGUGAAGAAGGUCUUCGGAUUGUAAAGCACUUUAAGUUGGGAGGAAGGGCAGUAAGUUAAUACCUUGCUGUUUUGACGUUACAAACAGAAUAAGCACCGGCUAACUUCGUG
RNAcentral lists this ribosomal RNA (484 nucleotides) under uncultured bacterium. Its description in RNAcentral is "partial 16S ribosomal RNA". It matches the Rfam family "Bacterial small subunit ribosomal RNA", at positions 30 to 507 of the family's 1533-position model. The record is from RNAcentral.